UUAGUUAACUGAGUAAUCGCUAAUUUUCAAUUAAAAUUAGAGGAAAGUCCGGACUCCAUGAAGAAAAGUGCCAGAUAACAUCUGGGAGAUGAAAAUCUACGAAUAGUGCAACAGAAAAAAAACCGCCUUUUAAAACAUAUAAAAAAGGUAAGGGUGAAAUGGUGUUGUUAAGAGCUCACCGCAAUACUGGUAACAGUAUUGGCAUUGUAAACUCCACUUGGAGCAAGGUCAAAUAGAAACUCAUAAUAUGCAUCUUCACAUUAAUUGGGUUUGGGUAGACUGCUUGAAUUAAUAUGUGAAUAUUAAUCUAGAUAAAUGAUUACUUAAUACAGAACCCGGCUUAUAGGUUAACUAAAUUU
This 359-nucleotide RNase P RNA is filed under the name Arsenophonus sp. RNAcentral describes it as "RNase P RNA component class A". It matches the Rfam family "Bacterial RNase P class A". Rfam says of the family: Ribonuclease P (RNase P) is a ubiquitous endoribonuclease, found in archaea, bacteria and eukarya as well as chloroplasts and mitochondria. Its best characterised activity is the generation of mature 5'-ends of tRNAs by cleaving the 5'-leader elements of precursor-tRNAs. The record is from RNAcentral. Lineage: Bacteria; Pseudomonadati; Pseudomonadota; Gammaproteobacteria; Enterobacterales; Morganellaceae.